Molecule: non-coding RNA, 167 nt
Organism: Labrus bergylta (ballan wrasse)
Lineage: Eukaryota; Metazoa; Chordata; Actinopteri; Labriformes; Labridae
Source: RefSeq, a predicted model, not a curated record
GACUGAGACUGAUUCCAGCUGUGAGGAACUGCAGGAAGGCAGAAAAAACUUGGACGGGGCGUCCAUCUGAGCCACACUUUGGAAUCUCGAUCUGACGGGGGCUCCCUGGGCUCUGGUGUCCAGCAGGUUUUCUAACUGUGGACUGUCAGAGACUCACUGUGAAGUCG